This 29-nucleotide small RNA is filed under the name Bombyx mori (domestic silkworm). RNAcentral's name for it is "ovarian small RNA-34578". Lineage: Eukaryota; Metazoa; Arthropoda; Insecta; Lepidoptera; Bombycidae. The record is from RNAcentral.
UGGACUAUGAACAGAUGCGUUGCGUUUGC